RNAcentral lists this transfer RNA (71 nucleotides) under Ornithorhynchus anatinus (platypus). It matches the Rfam family "tRNA". From Rfam's summary of the family: Transfer RNA (tRNA) molecules are approximately 80 nucleotides in length. Their secondary structure includes four short double-helical elements and three loops (D, anti-codon, and T loops). Further hydrogen bonds mediate the characteristic L-shaped molecular structure. tRNAs have two regions of fundamental functional importance: the anti-codon, which is responsible for specific mRNA codon recognition, and the 3' end, to which the tRNAs corresponding amino acid is attached (by aminoacyl-tRNA synthetases). tRNAs cope with the degeneracy of the genetic code in two manners: having more than one tRNA (with a specific anti-codon) for a particular amino acid; and 'wobble' base-pairing, i.e. permitting non-standard base-pairing at the 3rd anti-codon position. The record is from Rfam by way of RNAcentral. Lineage: Eukaryota; Metazoa; Chordata; Mammalia; Monotremata; Ornithorhynchidae.
GGCAGGGUGGCUUAGCGGAAAGAGCCGGGCUUGGGAGUCAGAGGUCGUGGGUUCCAGUCCCACCUCUGCCA